This 203-nucleotide non-coding RNA is filed under the name Ditylum brightwellii. The record is from RNAcentral. Lineage: Eukaryota; Bacillariophyta; Thalassiosirophyceae; Lithodesmiales; Lithodesmiaceae.
UAUCUUCAAAGCUUCAUCAUAUGUAGCAUCUGAUUCGGAGCAACGAGGGUUGCCUGAAGAUGAAUUAGAAGAUCGUAGGAGUUUUAUCUUUGACCGCUGGCUUUUUCUCUUUCUCAUCAUGGUGCCGCUUAAGGAUGAUCCAAAAAAGGUUCUUUCGAUGUUCCAUCGCUUGCGUAGCGCUCAAAUUUUUGUCGUGUCAAGCG